AUACGUAGGGGGCGAGCGUUGUCCGGAAUGAUUGGGCGUAAAGGGCGCGUAGGCGGCCCGGUAAGUCUGGAGUGAAAGUCCUGCUUUUAAGGUGGGAAUUGCUUUGGAUACUGUCGGGCUUGAGUGCAGGAGAGGUAAGUGGAAUUCCCAGUGUAGCGGUGAAAUGCGUAGAGAUUGGGAGGAACACCAGUGGCGAAGGCGACUUACUGGACUGUAACUGACGCUGAGGCGCGAAAGUGUGGGGAGCAAACAGGAUUAGAUACCCUGGUAGUCCACACUGUAAACGAUGAAUGCUAGGUGUAGGGGGUAUCGACCCCUUCUGUGCCGCAGUAAACACAAUAAGCACUCCGCCUGGGGAGUACGGCCGCAAGGUUGAAACUCAAAGGAAUUGACGGGG
This 397-nucleotide ribosomal RNA is filed under the name uncultured bacterium. RNAcentral describes it as "partial 16S ribosomal RNA". It matches the Rfam family "Bacterial small subunit ribosomal RNA", at positions 523 to 918 of the family's 1533-position model. The record is from RNAcentral.